This 484-nucleotide ribosomal RNA is filed under the name uncultured bacterium. RNAcentral's name for it is "partial 16S ribosomal RNA". It matches the Rfam family "Bacterial small subunit ribosomal RNA", at positions 30 to 507 of the family's 1533-position model. The record is from RNAcentral.
AUUGAACGCUGGCGGCAUGCUUUACACAUGCAAGUCGAACGGCAGCGCGGGCUUCUUCCUGGCGGCGAGUUGCGAACGGGUGAGUAAUGCAUCGGAACGUACCCAGUAGUUGGGGAUAGCCCGGCUAAAGCCGGAUUAAUACAUCAUACGACCUGAGGUUGAAAGCGGGGGACCGAAAGGCCUCGCGCUAUUUGAGCGGCCGAUGUCGGAUUAGCUAGUUGGUGGGGUAAAGGCUUACCAAGGCGACGAUCCGUAGCUGGUCUGAGAGGACGACCAGCCACACUGGGACUGAGACACGGUCCAGACUCCUACGGGAGGCAGCAGUGGGGAAUUUUGGACAAUGGGGGAAAGCCUGAUCCAGCAAUGCCGCGUGAGGGAAGAAGGCCUUCGGGUUGUAAAACGCUUUUGUUAGGGAAGAAAUCAUCUGGGAUAAUACCUCGGGGGGAUGACGGUACCGGAAGAAAAAGCACCGGCUAACUACGUG